GACGAACGCUGGCGGCGUGCCUAAUACAUGCAAGUAGAACGCUGAAGGAGGAGCUUGCUUCUCUGGAUGAGUUGCGAACGGGUGAGUAACGCGUAGGUAACCUGCCUGGUAGCGGGGGAUAACUAUUGGAAACGAUAGCUAAUACCGCAUAAGAGUAGAUGUUGCAUGACAUUUGCUUAAAAGGUGCAAUUGCAUCACUACCAGAUGGACCUGCGUUGUAUUAGCUAGUUGGUGAGGUAACGGCCCACCAAGGCAACGAUACAUAGCCGACCUGAGAGGGUGAUCGGCCACACUGGGACUGAGACACGGCCCAGACUCCUACGGGAGGCAACAGUAGGGAAUCUUCGGCAAUGGACGGAAGUCUGACCGAGCAACGCCGCGUGAGUGAAGAAGGUUUUCGGACCGUAAAGCUCUGUUGUAAGAGAAGAACGAGUGUGAGAGUGGAAAGUUCACACUGUG
This 459-nucleotide ribosomal RNA is filed under the name Streptococcus mitis. RNAcentral's name for it is "bacterial SSU rRNA". It matches the Rfam family "Bacterial small subunit ribosomal RNA", at positions 28 to 471 of the family's 1533-position model. The record is from RNAcentral. Lineage: Bacteria; Bacillati; Bacillota; Bacilli; Lactobacillales; Streptococcaceae.